Long non-coding RNA from Poecile atricapillus (Black-capped chickadee), 265 nucleotides. RefSeq lists it as uncharacterized. NCBI's taxonomy places the organism in Eukaryota, Metazoa, Chordata, Aves, Passeriformes, Paridae. The transcript has 3 exons. The record is from RefSeq and is a predicted model, not a curated record.
GCCGCUCUCUCCAGCUGGCACAGGACGAGAGCCGAGCGGCCGAGCACCUGUGCCGGGCCCUACCGUACCUGGACAGCCCACAGGAGCCCCUGCGAGAGGCGGCCGUCAGGUUCCUCGGGAUGGCCAGGGAGCCCCUGAGGGGGCAGCAGGAGGAGCUGCAGGCCCUCAUCGAGGCAAUUCAAGCUCUAAGAAGAGAUGACAACCCUUCUGAGAGAAACACAGUUCUUCAGCAGACAUUUAUUGAAAGAACUGCAGAACUACGCUC